GAUGAACGCUGGCGGCGUGCCUAAUACAUGCAAGUCGGGCGAACAGAUAAGGAGCUUGCUCCUUUGACGUUAGCGGCGGACGGGUGAGUAACACGUGGAUAACCUACCUAUAAGACUGGGAUAACUUCGGGAAACCGGAGCUAAUACCGGAUAACAUAUUGAACCGCAUGGUUCAAUAGUGAAAGGCGGCUUUGCUGUCACUUAUAGAUGGAUCCGCGCCGUAUUAGCUAGUUGGUAAGGUAACGGCUUACCAAGGCAACGAUGCGUAGCCGACCUGAGAGGGUGAUCGGCCACACUGGAACUGAGACACGGUCCAGACACCUACGGGAGGCAGCAGUAGGGAAUCUUCCGCAAUGGGCGAAAGCCUGACGGAGCAACGCCGCGUGAGUGAUGAAGGUCUUCGGAUCGUAAAACUCUGUUAUCAGGGAAGAACAAAUGUGUAAGUAACUGUGCACAUCUUGACGGUACCUGAUCAGAAAGCCACGGCUAACUACGUG
This 497-nucleotide ribosomal RNA is filed under the name uncultured bacterium. RNAcentral describes it as "partial 16S ribosomal RNA". It matches the Rfam family "Bacterial small subunit ribosomal RNA", at positions 28 to 507 of the family's 1533-position model. The record is from RNAcentral.